GGACGAACGCUGGCGGCGUGCUUAACACAUGCAAGUCGAACGAUGAACCUCCUUCGGGAGGGGAUUAGUGGCGAACGGGUGAGUAACACGUGGGCAAUCUGCCCUUCACUCUGGGACAAGCCCUGGAAACGGGGUCUAAUACCGGAUACGACACGGGGUCGCAUGACCUCCGUGUGGAAAGCUCCGGCGGUGAAGGAUGAGCCCGCGGCCUAUCAGCUUGUUGGUGGGGUGAUGGCCUACCAAGGCGACGACGGGUAGCCGGCCUGAGAGGGCGACCGGCCACACUGGGACUGAGACACGGCCCAGACUCCUACGGGAGGCAGCAGUGGGGAAUAUUGCACAAUGGGCGAAAGCCUGAUGCAGCGACGCCGCGUGAGGGAUGACGGCCUUCGGGUUGUAAACCUCUUUCAGCAGGGAAGAAGCGAGAGUGACGGUACCUGCAGAAGAAGCGCCGGCUAACUACGUGCCAGCAGCCGCGGUAAUACGUAGGGCGCAAGCGUUGUCCGGAAUUAUUGGGCGUAAAGAGCUCGUAGGCGGCUUGUCGCGUCGGAUGUGAAAGCCCGGGGCUUAACCCCGGGUCUGCAUUCGAUACGGGCAGGCUAGAGUUCGGUAGGGGAGAUCGGAAUUCCUGGUGUAGCGGUGAAAUGCGCAGAUAUCAGGAGGAACACCGGUGGCGAAGGCGG
RNAcentral lists this ribosomal RNA (683 nucleotides) under uncultured Streptomyces sp. RNAcentral describes it as "bacterial SSU rRNA". It matches the Rfam family "Bacterial small subunit ribosomal RNA", at positions 27 to 724 of the family's 1533-position model. Lineage: Bacteria; Bacillati; Actinomycetota; Actinomycetes; Kitasatosporales; Streptomycetaceae. The record is from RNAcentral.